UGGCUACAUAGAGUGCCUGUAUUCAUCUGCAUUGAAACCCCUUGAGAAUUUUUAUAGGUUGAACCAAGACAGAAUAAUGAAAUGAACCCUUCAAGGCAGGAAGGCAGAAGCAGACAUAAAAGAUGAUUUCUCUGUGUUGUUUGGCCUUUAUGGGAAGAACCAUGAUGAGCUUCUAGAAAAUGCAUUAUUGAGUUGAUGUAAUAAGGCACUGUGUGAGGUGUAGUCUCUGUUCUCUCGGAGCUCAUGGUCUCAGAGGAAGACAGAUGAAAUCACGCUGAUGAAUGUAUACUUAGACGCCAAGCCGCAUGCUGCUUUCCUUUAAGAGACCACCAAAGGACGUCUCAGAUGUUGUUGGAGACAAACAUCCCUAACAAAAGAAGAAAAAACUGCUGAGUGGCAUAUCCUGUCCCUGCUUCAACAGCCUUCCCCAAGUUCAGCAUCAUUUGAACAUGAGGAAGGAAAAAAAAUGAUGAACUCCCACAUUCUGCCUCAGUGACUAGUCCAGUGUUGGCAACAUCUUCAUCCUGGGCAACAGAGUCCUUCCCAUGGAAUAGUGUAACUUGAGCUUGGGAGGGACAGCACUUUCUGCUCUGGAGGUAAGAUCAGGAAAACAUGAAUCCAGAGCCAUCAGCUGCCCCAGGCCUAUUGCAUGACCCAAGCCCAACUGCAAGAGGAGAGAAAGGACCUGGCACAAACAAGAGAAACAGAGGAGAUCAAAGCAGCUGCAUCAUCUCAUUAACCUUCACUCAGCACCACGAAGGAGAUGGCGAGAUGAUCAACGAGGCCCGAAGAGGCUACAUAACCUUCCCAAAGUCAUACAACCAGAUUUUUGGACCCAGAUGAUCUGAUGCCAGAGAUCUGGCCUUCACUACACUGAAGAAACCUUUGCCAGCAUUGAAAGGUACAUGACUAUUAAUAAGGCGGACCCUCCAUCCUUUCUAAGCUUCAUUCAGCCAGUGCAUUGUUCAAGAUAUCCGGGGAACUGGGAUACCCCAGUAAGAUGCCAGGAGAGACUCAAUUAGCCAAGACAGCUUAACUUUAAAGGUAACAAAGAUUGUUUGAAGGUCUCUUAUUUUUGAAAUAAAGGACCCUCCUCUUCCUGAAUAAUACACCACCCCUUGCAUAGAAUAUUUUCUGUGUAGGAACAGAGUUCAAGGCGACCUGGAGUGGCUUUGUUUCGUUUUGUUUUGUUUUUUCA
This is a long non-coding RNA of Phacochoerus africanus (Common warthog), 1198 nucleotides long. RefSeq lists it as uncharacterized. NCBI's taxonomy places the organism in Eukaryota, Metazoa, Chordata, Mammalia, Artiodactyla, Suidae. The record is from RefSeq and is a predicted model, not a curated record. The transcript has 7 exons.